UUUGAAAGAUGGUUUCGGCUAUCGCUUACAGAUGGGCCCGCGGUGCAUUAGCUAGUUGGUAGGGUAAUGGCCUACCAAGGCAACGAUGCAUAGCCGACCUGAGAGGGUGAUCGGCCACACUGGGACUGAGACACGGCCCAGACUCCUACGGGAGGCAGCAGUAGGGAAUCUUCCGCAAUGGACGAAAGUCUGACGGAGCAACGCCGCGUGUAUGAAGAAGGUUUUCGGAUCGUAAAGUACUGUUGUUAGAGAAGAACAAGGAUAAGAGUAACUGCUUGUCCCUUGACGGUAUCUAACCAGAAAGCCACGGCUAACUACGUGCCAGCAGCCGCGGUA
This 336-nucleotide ribosomal RNA is filed under the name Listeria monocytogenes. RNAcentral describes it as "bacterial SSU rRNA". It matches the Rfam family "Bacterial small subunit ribosomal RNA", at positions 199 to 522 of the family's 1533-position model. The record is from RNAcentral. Lineage: Bacteria; Bacillati; Bacillota; Bacilli; Caryophanales; Listeriaceae.